AAUAGCUCAAAUUUGAAAGCUGGCGUCUUCGACGUCCGCGUUGUAAUUUGUAGAGGAUGUUUCGGCGAGGGCUCCUGCCUAAGUUCCCUGGAAUGGGACGUCACAGAGGGUGAGAAUCCCGUAUGUGGCGGGCGGCCUUAGCCAUGUGAAACUCCUUCGACGAGUCGAGUUGUUUGGGAAUGCAGCUCUAAAUGGGAGGUAAAUUUCUUCUAAAGCUAAAUACCGGCCAGAGACCGAUAGCGCACAAGUAGAGUGAUCGAAAGAUGAAAAGCACUUUGGAAAGAGAGUUAAAAAGUACGUGAAAUUGUUGAAAGGGAAGCGCUUGCAACCAGACUCGUUCGCAGUUGCUCAGCCCGCCUCUUGGUGGGUGUACUCUUCUGCGGUCGGGCCAGCAUCAGUUCGGGCGGUCGGAUAAAGGUGUCGGGAAUGUAGCACCCUUCGGGGUGUGUUAUAGCCCGGCGCGGAAUGCGGCCAGCCUGGACUGAGGAUCUCGCUUCGGCAAGGAUGCUGGCGUAAUGGUUGUAAGCGGCCCGUCUUGAAACACGGACCAAGGAGUCUAACAUCUAUGCGAGUGUUUGGGUGUCAAACCCAUGCGCGUAAUGAAAGUGAACGGAGGUGGGAACCCGCAAGGGUGCACCAUCGACCGAUCCUGAUGUCUUCGGAUGGAUUUGAGUAAGAGCAUAGCUGUUGGGACCCGAAAGAUGGUGAACUAUGCCUGAAUAGGGUGAAGCCAGAGGAAACUCUGGUGGAGGCUCGCAGCGGUUCUGACGUGCAAAUCGAUCGUCAAAUUUGGGUAUAGGGGCGAAAGACUAAUCG
This 816-nucleotide ribosomal RNA is filed under the name Phyllosticta citricarpa. RNAcentral's name for it is "eukaryotic LSU rRNA". It matches the Rfam family "Eukaryotic large subunit ribosomal RNA", at positions 103 to 937 of the family's 3401-position model. Lineage: Eukaryota; Fungi; Ascomycota; Dothideomycetes; Botryosphaeriales; Phyllostictaceae. The record is from RNAcentral.